GACGAACGCUGGCGGCGUGCUUAACACAUGCAAGUCGAACGGUAAGGCCCUUCGGGGUACACGAGUGGCGAACGGGUGAGUAACACGUGGGUGAUCUGCCCUGCACUUCGGGAUAAGCCUGGGAAACUGGGUCUAAUACCGGAUAGGACUCCUGGCUUCAUGGUUGGGGGUGGAAAGCUUUUGCGGUGUGGGAUGGGCACGCGGCCUAUCAGCUUGUUGGUGGGGUAAUGGCCUACCAAGGCGACGACGGGUAGCCGGCCUGAGAGGGUGACCGGUCACACUGGGGCUGAGAUACGGCCCAGACUGCGACGGGAGGCAGCAGUGGGGAAUAUUGCACAAUGGGCGCAAGCCUGAUGCAGCGACGCCGCGUGAGGGAUGACGGCCUGCGGGUUGUAAACCUCUUUCAGCUAUGACGAAGCGCAAGUGACGGUAGUAGCAGAAGAAGGACCGGCCAACUACGUGCCAGCCGCCGCGGUAA
Molecule: ribosomal RNA, 478 nt
Filed under: uncultured bacterium
Lineage: Bacteria
Description: partial 16S ribosomal RNA
Rfam family: Bacterial small subunit ribosomal RNA
Source: RNAcentral